RNAcentral lists this ribosomal RNA (1419 nucleotides) under uncultured bacterium. Its description in RNAcentral is "bacterial SSU rRNA". It matches the Rfam family "Bacterial small subunit ribosomal RNA". The record is from RNAcentral.
GCUACACAUGCAAGUCGAACGGUAACAGGAAGCAGCUUGCUGCUUCGCUGACGAGUGGCGGACGGGUGAGUAAUGUCUGGGAAACUGCCUGAUGGAGGGGGAUAACUACUGGAAACGGUAGCUAAUACCGCAUAACGUCGCAAGACCAAAGAGGGGGACCUUCGGGCCUCUUGCCAUCGGAUGUGCCCAGAUGGGAUUAGCUAGUAGGUGGGGUAACGGCUCACCUAGGCGACGAUCCCUAGCUGGUCUGAGAGGAUGACCAGCCACACUGGAACUGAGACACGGUCCAGACUCCUACGGGAGGCAGCAGUGGGGAAUAUUGCACAAUGGGCGCAAGCCUGAUGCAGCCAUGCCGCGUGUAUGAAGAAGGCCUUCGGGUUGUAAAGUACUUUCAGCGGGGAGGAAGGGAGUAAAGUUAAUACCUUUGCUCAUUGACGUUACCCGCAGAAGAAGCACCGGCUAACUCCGUGCCAGCAGCCGCGGUAAUACGGAGGGUGCAAGCGUUAAUCGGAAUUACUGGGCGUAAAGCGCACGCAGGCGGUUUGUUAAGUCAGAUGUGAAAUCCCCGGGCUCAACCUGGGAACUGCAUCUGAUACUGGCAAGCUUGAGUCUCGUAGAGGGGGGUAGAAUUCCAGGUGUAGCGGUGAAAUGCGUAGAGAUCUGGAGGAAUACCGGUGGCGAAGGCGGCCCCCUGGACGAAGACUGACGCUCAGGUGCGAAAGCGUGGGGAGCAAAACAGGAUUAGAUACCCUGGUAGUCCACGCCGUAAACGAUGUCGACUUGGAGGUUGUGCCCUUGAGGCGUGGCUUCCGGAGCUAACGCGUUAAGUCGACCGCCUGGGGAGUACGGCCGCAAGGUUAAAACUCAAAUGAAUUGACGGGGGCCCGCACAAGCGGUGGAGCAUGUGGUUUAAUUCGAUGCAACGCGAAGAACCUUACCUGGUCUUGACAUCCACGGAAGUUUUCAGAGAUGAGAAUGUGCCUUCGGGAACCGUGAGACAGGUGCUGCAUGGCUGUCGUCAGCUCGUGUUGUGAAAUGUUGGGUUAAGUCCCGCAACGAGCGCAACCCUUAUCCUUUGUUGCCAGCGGUCCGGCCGGGAACUCAAAGGAGACUGCCAGUGAUAAACUGGAGGAAGGUGGGGAUGACGUCAAGUCAUCAUGGCCCUUACGACCAGGGCUACACACGUGCUACAAUGGCGCAUACAAAGAGAAGCGACCUCGCGAGAGCAAGCGGACCUCAUAAAGUGCGUCGUAGUCCGGAUUGGAGUCUGCAACUCGACUCCAUGAAGUCGGAAUCGCUAGUAAUCGUGGAUCAGAAUGCCACGGUGAAUACGUUCCCGGGCCUUGUACACACCGCCCGUCACACCAUGGGAGUGGGUUGCAAAAGAAGUAGGUAGCUUAACCUUCGGGAGGGCGCUUU